Molecule: long non-coding RNA, 233 nt
Filed under: Lathyrus oleraceus (garden pea)
Lineage: Eukaryota; Viridiplantae; Streptophyta; Magnoliopsida; Fabales; Fabaceae
Description: Pisum sativum (pea) long non-coding RNA (PSAT_LNC012712)
Source: RNAcentral
UAGAGACAAAAAUAAUAUGAGUUUGUGUUGGGAACAUUUUCAAUAGAAUAAAAAUAAGUGGGAUAAAAAAUAAAAUGAAAAGGGAAAUAAAUAAGGUAAACAAUAAAUAAAAAUAAAAUGGGACAAGUGCAUACGCUAGGGGUUGAACCCCUGACCUUGGAGUCAUGAGGGGUGAACCCCCUUAUCCACUAGGCCAAGCACCCUUUGGUGAUUCAGAAACAAACUAAUAUAAU